This 95-nucleotide small RNA is filed under the name Gramella sp. Hel_I_59. RNAcentral's name for it is "Flavo-1 RNA". It matches the Rfam family "Flavo-1 RNA". Lineage: Bacteria; Pseudomonadati; Bacteroidota; Flavobacteriia; Flavobacteriales; Flavobacteriaceae. The record is from RNAcentral.
AUUUUGCGUUAGGGAUUGCAGCGGCAUCCUUUUAACACGAGGCUGAGCUUGUCGAGGCUUCAUGUUAAAAGAUAAAGCGGAAAGCCCGGCCCAAA